RNAcentral lists this transfer RNA (73 nucleotides) under Trichonephila clavata. It matches the Rfam family "tRNA". From Rfam's summary of the family: Transfer RNA (tRNA) molecules are approximately 80 nucleotides in length. Their secondary structure includes four short double-helical elements and three loops (D, anti-codon, and T loops). The record is from Rfam by way of RNAcentral. Lineage: Eukaryota; Metazoa; Arthropoda; Arachnida; Araneae; Nephilidae.
GUCCCUGUAGCGCAAUGGAUAGCGCGUUGGACUUCUAAUCCAAAGGUCGUGGGUUCGAAUACUAACUGGGAUG